AGCUUUGUGCUAUCCUAGCCAGUGCGAUUUAUCCAAGCCACGAUUAUUGCUAAUUGUAAACUUUUCCCAAUACCCCACCAUGACGACUUGAAAUAUAGUCAGCAUUGGCAAUUUUUGACAGUCUCUAUGGAGA
This is a small nuclear RNA of Callithrix jacchus (white-tufted-ear marmoset), 133 nucleotides long. Its record names the gene U4. It matches the Rfam family "U4 spliceosomal RNA". Rfam says of the family: U4 small nuclear RNA (U4 snRNA) is a component of the major U2-dependent spliceosome. The structure of U4 snRNA from yeast and human has been reported. Lineage: Eukaryota; Metazoa; Chordata; Mammalia; Primates; Cebidae. The record is from Ensembl.